GUUUGACCUCGGAUCAGGUAGGAAUACCCGCUGAACUUAAGCAUAUCAA
Molecule: ribosomal RNA, 49 nt
Filed under: Paraeutypella vitis
Lineage: Eukaryota; Fungi; Ascomycota; Sordariomycetes; Xylariales; Diatrypaceae
Also listed under: 3 other names
Description: Eutypella vitis partial 28S ribosomal RNA
Source: RNAcentral